Molecule: long non-coding RNA, 1703 nt
Filed under: Homo sapiens (human)
Lineage: Eukaryota; Metazoa; Chordata; Mammalia; Primates; Hominidae
Description: HSALNT0052510
Source: RNAcentral
CAAAGAUUAGGUCUAUUCAUUCUUUCUAACUAUUUUGUGUACCUUUUAAAAUUGAGGUUCAAAAGGAAGUUGUAAUGGUUUCAAAACAAUUGAGAUCAGGGAUCUCUAAAUGGGGCUUUGAGGCACCGGGAAACAUACCCUUACCCUAACCUGCAAAUGGGACUCUGAGAAUGUAAAUGCUUAGGUCAAGUUACCAACUAAAUAACAAAGGCUAAGCCCAGAUAUCAGUUCUAUAAUUUGAGGUGCCCCCACCAUUAUUUUCUCUUGAUCCUCAAGUUUCUUACUCUUUUUACUCAUUUCAAUAUUGUCCAGCUGUAGAUGAAUUCUAUUUUUAGAAGUUAGUGUGGUUACAUUUAAACCUAAUUUUCAAACUGACUUGCUUGAGAUCCAAAGCACAUUUUUAAGCGUCAGAGCUCUAGGAACAGAAAAUAGCAUCCCUGGGAUGACAGGAAGGAUGCCCUGUGCCUGGAGGAGGUCUCUCUCCAGGAUUCAGCACACCGUGGAGCUGUGGGAAGUGUGUUAUCUCUGUCAUGAGAGAGAAAGGAGUGGCUGGCUCAGCAAGAUUAGAGCCUCUCUCUGGAUUGUUCCUCAGAACCAGAAGAACUGUGUGGAGUGGCAGCAACUGGAGGAAGCAGAAUGUCCCCGAGCAAGAUUGUCAAGAGAAAAAAGUUACAUGUAUAAAAUCUACAGUAGAAUUGGAAGAUGGAUCUAAUGAGAAUAACACUAAGGAAACACCAUCCUUCAAAAACUAAAAGCUCCUUGAUGAGGUAGACACCAGGCGAAAGGCAAGAUGCCAGAGUAUAAAUGACUUUGAGACAAGAAAAUGAAGUGUCCCAGAAGAGGAAAUGCAGUAAGUGUUGGGGAUAAAAAGAAGGUUAGAAAGCGAACAAUUUCAGAAGGGAAGAAAUGACCUCUAAAAGGGAAGCUGGGAUGAUAGCAAAGGCAAUGUCAACGUCCUCACAAUUUCACUUAGAUUUUCCUGGCUACUCUGCAGAAGGCAUGAUAAGAUAAAUGCUUAUUGAUUUCAAGAUCAAGGCAACAGGAUCCUUUCUGUUUAAUUAUUUCUUUGUAAGUUAAAAACUAAAUGCUUUGGCAAGUGCUGUAAAUACAAAGGGCAGGGGUAUUCAGUGCCCUUAGAAUCAAUGGCAAGUUCAAGCUGUGUGUGACAAGGGAUAACCAUUAUUCAUCCAUUCAUUCUAACAAAGUCUGUAAAUGACUACCAUGCAUUAGGUGAUGGUCUGGUCACUGAAAUAUCAGAGACAGGUAAAGCUCAGUCUCUGUUCUUAAGGACCUCAGGGUUUAGAAGAAGAAAAAGACAUAUAAGUAAGUACAAUAGAAAUAUAAACAAGAACCAAAGGUAGCUCAGGGGAAGUGAGUAACUCUUAGAGGAAAAUAUUAAAUAAAGGAUUUCUGGAUGAGAGGAUGUUUGAACUGAAUUCUGAAGAUGAAUAAAAGUCCUUCUGGAGAAAUAAAAACACCAUUUUGGCAGAAAUAAUAGUAUAUGUGAAUACAUUUAGAACAAAGCAUGGAAACUAUGUUUAGGAUAUUGUCAUAAGCUUGGUAUCUUUAGAGCAUUUUGUGUAAGUGGUGAGGGGAGAAAAUGGGAGGAGAUAAAAAACGUAAACGUAGGGUAGGGUAGAUUAUGAAUGGAUAGAAAUGUCUCUUAAAGCAUCUGAACUAUACCCAAAUGCCUAGGAGGAGAA